This 1991-nucleotide long non-coding RNA is filed under the name Sus scrofa (pig). Its description in RNAcentral is "lncRNA (ENSSSCG00000041715.2)". The record is from RNAcentral. Lineage: Eukaryota; Metazoa; Chordata; Mammalia; Artiodactyla; Suidae.
CGGCAUAUGGAGGGUCCCAGGCUGGGGGCUGACUUGGAGCUACAGCUGCCGGCCUCCCCCAGAGCCACUGCAGCGCUGGAUCCUCAGUCCAGUCAGCAGGGCCAGGGAUGGAACCUGUGUCCUCAUGGAUGCCGGUCAGAUACGUUUCCGCUGAGUCACCAUGGGAACUCCAGAUUACUGAUUUUAGUGUUUUUUAGAUAGGAGGAGAUGCAGGAAUUGGGCUCAUAAAGUCUUAUGCGGAAAUUAUCUAAUUCUCUGAAGGCCUGAUCUGCCAGUUUCCCAGGGCGCAGAGUGCCUCGCUCCUGAUCUGCACCCUGAACUGCUCUCAGGGGCGUUGGAGGUGGGCCGCCGGAGCAGCUCACACUUCAGUCCUUGUCGAGGUAGCGGAGCUGCCCUGUUGGAGCUGUCGAUCACGUGUGGAACCGUCCGUCUGGUCAGCCGCUUCGGGUCACCUAGUCACCGUUAUUUUUGUCAGAGGCCCAGUCCCACAUUUGGUCAGGCCGGCAAAGUACAAAUAGUGCAGCUCAUGGCAUUCAUAGAAUUAGAGGGACAGAAGUAGCUGCCAAAUGGUCGGAGCAGCAGAAUACAGGUCUCUCGACCGUCAGGCUCAUCGCAGCGGUCUUUCUGCAGGGACUCCCCAAAGGGGAAUGACCUUCCCUAAAAGCAGCUCGCCUGCCGACUGUGCCAUGGCUCUUCUGCCUCCCAGGUGGAGACGCGGACAUCGUGGCGAGUGCCUGCUGGGACCCCCGAGAGGGGGCAUCUGGAUAAAAUCAAUCUGCCACGUUUCAAAGGGCGUGCAGCAGCUCUCAGCCUGGCAGACUCCUGUUCGUGCUCGUAGUUCAGCCUGUUGGGCAGGAGAGACUUUGGGUGAGGACUGCCCUCAAGCACUGACGCUGGAGAAACAACAGCACCAUCAGCCGGGUCGUUCCCUGGGUCCUUGCAGAUACGAACCGUCAGUGAAUGAUAUUAAAUCAGAAUUUGCUGUAGCGCUUUCUUGGAGAUCAGUCCUGGGAGAUAAAAGAUUGUCCGUUAAAACAAGACAGUCUUUUUUUUUUUUUUUCCUUCUUCUUUUUAGGGCCACACUGGCCGCAUUCGGAGGUUUGCAGGCUAGGGGUCAAAUCGGAGCCACAGCAGCUCCCCUGUGCCACAGCCACACCAGAUUUGAGCCGCAUCUGUGAUCUAUGUCUAUCUCACAGCAACACCAGAUCCCCAACCCACUGAGCGAGGCCAGGGAUCGAACCCGCAUCUUCAUAGACACUGGUCAGAUUCGUUUCUGCUGCGCCACAGCGGGAACUCCAGUCCAGUCCUGUUUUUCGUCAUGGAUGUCUGAGUCCUCUGGUCGCAAGGGGACUGGAUGAAGUCUGUCGCAUCUGGGAAGGGCUGCAUCCGGUGAGAGCCAGGUCGUUUCAAGGGCGCUUCAUCCAGUCGAAGACUGCUGUGCUGAGAGUCUAGUACGGCCUCCACAGAGGGGGAAACAGACAGUGAGAGGCGCUUGCUGACUGUGUCUUGUGUGGUCGGACAUGGCAGCGCUGCACAGCCGGUGCAAGGCGCCAUAAGCCCUUUCUCGACAGAAACUCCUUCUGUGGCCUCUUUUUAAAAAUUUUUUUAAAAUUACUCAAAUGAAUUUAUCACAUCUGUAGUUGUAUGAUGAUCAUAACAAUCCGAUUUCAUAGGAUUUCCAUCCCACGGCCCAAGCACAUCCCCCCACCCCCCAAACUGUCUCCUCCGGAGACCAUAAGUUUUUCAAUGUCUGUGAGUCAGCAUCUGUUCUGCAAAGAAGUUCAGUCUGUCCUGUUUUCAGAUUCCACAGGUCAGUGAAAGCAUUGGAUGUUCGUGUCUCACUGUAUGGCUGACUUCACUUAGCAUGGUAAUUUCUAGGUCCAUCUGUGUUGCUAAAAAUGUGGGUAUUUCGUUCCUUUUAAUGGCUGAGUCAUAUUCCAUCGUGUAUAUGGACCACAUCGUCUGGAUCCACUCCUCUGUCGAUGGACAUU